RNAcentral lists this ribosomal RNA (292 nucleotides) under uncultured bacterium. RNAcentral's name for it is "partial 16S ribosomal RNA". It matches the Rfam family "Bacterial small subunit ribosomal RNA", at positions 505 to 796 of the family's 1533-position model. The record is from RNAcentral.
GUGUCAGCCGCCGCGGUAAUACAGAGGUCUCAAGCGUUGUUCGGAUUCAUUGGGCGUAAAGGGUGCGUAGGCGGUGUCGUAAGUCGGAUGUGAAAUCCCGGGGCUUAACUUCGGAACUGCAUUCGAUACUGCGAUACUCGAGGACUCGAGAGGAGAUUGGAAUUCACGGUGUAGCAGUGAAAUGCGUAGAUAUCGUGAGGAAGACCAGUGGCGAAGGCGGAUCUCUGGAGAGUUCCUGACGCUGAGGCACGAAGGCCAGGGGAGCAAACGGGAUUAGAUACCCUUGUAGUCC